This 231-nucleotide ribosomal RNA is filed under the name uncultured bacterium. RNAcentral describes it as "partial 16S ribosomal RNA". It matches the Rfam family "Bacterial small subunit ribosomal RNA", at positions 105 to 334 of the family's 1533-position model. The record is from RNAcentral.
ACGGUGAGUAACACGUAUCCAACCUGCCGUCUACUCUUGGACAGCCUUCUGAAAGGAAGAUUAAUACAAGAUGGCAUCAUGAGUCCGCAUGUUCACAUGAUUAAAGGUAUUCCGGUAGACGAUGGGGAUGCGUUCCAUUAGAUAGUAGGCGGGGUAACGGCCCACCAAAGCGACGAUGGAUAGGGGUUCUGAGAGGAAGGUCCCCCACAUUGGAACUGAGACACGGUCCAA